GAUUGAUAAACCUUUCGAAUUCAUCAUACUGUAAUAUCAUACCAACCGAUAUUGCUUUGAAAUGACUAGUUUGGAAUGUACUUCUACGCCGUAUGAACUUCAAACGGUUCUCGUAAAUAAACACUUUGGAGUUUCAAACACUUUUAGUCGUAGGUAUUAUACAUUUAGUUUCUAAAUCGAUGAUAAUGCGUAUCGAACGGUAAAGAAGUUGGUGACUUUGUAGUAAUAUAUAGUCACCUUGGUUACAUAUCUUUAAGUAUAGCCGUAUAAGCACGCUCAAGACAAUCCCUGACCGC
Non-coding RNA from Cinara cedri, 296 nucleotides. The record is from the annotation of a GenBank genome assembly. Lineage: Eukaryota; Metazoa; Arthropoda; Insecta; Hemiptera; Aphididae.